UACGUAGGUGGCAAGCGUUGUCCGGAAUUAUUGGGCGUAAAGCGCGCGUAGGCGGUCCUUUAGGUCUGCUGUGAAAGCCCACGGCUCAACCGUGGAGGGGCAUUGGAAACUGGGGGACUUGAGUACAGAAGAGAAGAGUGGAAUUCCACGUGUAGCGGUGAAAUGCGUAGAGAUGUGGAGGAACACCAGUGGCGAAGGCGACUCUUUGGUCUGUAACUGACGCUGAGGCGCGAAAGCGUGGGGAGCAAACAGG
Molecule: ribosomal RNA, 253 nt
Filed under: uncultured bacterium
Lineage: Bacteria
Description: partial 16S ribosomal RNA
Rfam family: Bacterial small subunit ribosomal RNA
Source: RNAcentral